Molecule: ribosomal RNA, 458 nt
Filed under: uncultured bacterium
Lineage: Bacteria
Description: partial 16S ribosomal RNA
Rfam family: Bacterial small subunit ribosomal RNA
Source: RNAcentral
CCUACGGGCGGCAGCAAUGAGGAAUAUUGGUCAAUGGGCGAGAGCCUGAACCAGCCAAGUCGCGUGAGGGAGUACUGCCCUAUGGGUUGUAAACCUCUUUUGUCGGGGAGCAAAAGCCGGACGUGUCCGGCUGUGAGAGUACCCGAAGAAAAAGCAUCGGCUAACUCCGUGCCAGCAGCCGCGGUAAUACGGAGGAUGCGAGCGUUAUCCGGAUUUAUUGGGUUUAAAGGGUGCGCAGGCGGAUUUUUAAGUCAGCGGUAAAAUCGUGGGGCUCAACCCCAUCCAGCCGUUGAAACUGGGGAUCUAGAGUGUGCGAGAGGUAUGCGGAAUGCGUGGUGUAGCGGUGAAAUGCAUAGAUAUCACGCAGAACCCCGAUUGCGAAGGCAGCAUACCGGUGCACAACUGACGCUCAGGCACGAAAGCGUGGGUAUCGAACAGGAUUAGAUACCCCGGUAGUC